CCCUGGCUCAGGAUGAACGCGGCGGCGUGCUUAACACAUGCAAGUCGAACGAUGACCCCCAGCUUGCUGGGGUGAUUAGUGGCGAACGGGUGAGUAACACGUGAGUAACCUGCCCCUGACUCUGGGAUAAGCCCGGGAAACUGGGUCUAAUACUGGAUAUGCACCGUAAGCCGCAUGGCUUUUGGUGGAAAGAUUUUUUGGUCAGGGAUGGACUCGCGGCCUAUCAGCUUGUUGGUGAGGUAAUGGCUCACCAAGGCGACGACGGGUAGCCGGCCUGAGAGGGUGACCGGCCACACUGGGACUGAGACACGGCCCAGACUCCUACGGGAGGCAGCAGUGGGGAAUAUUGCACAAUGGGCGAAAGCCUGAUGCAGCGACGCCGCGUGAGGGAUGACGGCCUUCGGGUUGUAAACCUCUUUCAGUAGGGAAGAAGCGAAAGUGACGGUACCUGCAGAAGAAGCGCCGGCUAACUA
RNAcentral lists this ribosomal RNA (473 nucleotides) under Micrococcineae bacterium CL2.123. RNAcentral describes it as "bacterial SSU rRNA". It matches the Rfam family "Bacterial small subunit ribosomal RNA", at positions 17 to 503 of the family's 1533-position model. Lineage: Bacteria; Bacillati; Actinomycetota; Actinomycetes; Micrococcales. The record is from RNAcentral.